AUGGUGGAUAACAAGAAUGAUGGGUCUGAAGGGGUCAAGUUCAACACGUCGCACCUGAUGCAAACAACCGAAGAGGUUGCGAGAGCAUUUAUUGCCGCUGCUUCAGCUGCCACCGUGCAACCAACACGGCCGUCUGUCGUCUAUUCGUCUGGGGAAGAGAGUGGCAGCCCAAUGCAGAAGCUGCAGCAGCAAUUCUCGAAGAUAAUGAAAGGGUUUUCAAAUUCACCCGAAGUGUCUGGACCAUACAACCCGGAAGUUCUCACGACACACAAGCGGCAGUGGUCGAGGUUCCAGCAGAAGUCAUUGGGUAAUAGGUGCAUCAAAGAACCAUCACAUCUUUUUGAGAGCAUAGUGAUUGUUGGGCUUCCUCCUCAGGCAGAUAUCCAUGAGCUAGAAAACAUUGCUCUAGGGAGAAAUGAUGAUGAUGCAAAGAAAUCAAGACAUAUAUUUGGCAACAACCACCACCAAGUUCAUGCUGUAUCAAAUUUGGAACCUCAGGUCCUUUUUGCGUACCCCCCUGAGAGGUCUCUUCCGCUUAAGUACAAGGAUAUCGUCUCGUUCUGCCUUCCUGGAGGUGCACAGGUUAAUGCUGUUGAACGGACUCCAUCAUUCAGCGAGCUGAAUGAAAUUCUCCUAGGGCAGGAACAUCUAAAAGAAAGCAAUCAAUCUUUCGUCUUCCGUUUACAGGUUGCUGAUGAUCCUACAUUAUAUGGAUGCUGUGUAUUGGUGGAAGAGAUUGUACAAAGACCCUCAAAGCUAGUUUCGAUGCUCACGAAUGAGAAACCUGUAUUUCCACGCCGGAGUCGUUAUGUAGUAACCACGCCACGGUGUUAUUGCAUCCUGUCUAGGCUGCCAUUCUUUGAACUGCAUUUUGGGGUGCUGCAGAGUAUUCUUAUGGAAGAACGACUUGAAUGGCUCACGGAUGGUGUUAGCAUGCUAACCUCAUUAUCGCCUGAAGAGGAAUGUGAGGAUGGUGAUAUCUGUGAAGGCUCCGAAAGCGUAGGACAAGAACUGUAUUUUGGUUGUACAACAGUAGAAAAAUCCUUUGAACCAAGCGUGGAAGUUUCUCCAAAGCAGCUCUCUGACAUGGACAGCAAUUCUGAGUGUAGGGAGAACCAACUGGACUUCAUCUCCCUAGAAGUCCAACAGGAAAGUGGUUCUCCUGUCAAAGAAGAACAAAAUGUUCUUGUAACAGGAACAGCUACUCAGUGUUAUACCGCAGAAGAGUCUGACAAUUCUGUUUCAGAAGAUACAGCGACUGGUGUAUCUGGAGUUAAGCUUGAUGAACCGGAUUCCUUACCCAUCAUUCCGAAUGAAUCUGAUACCAAGGAAAAUUCUCAUGUUCUUUCACAUGAAGAUGUGAUUGAUGGAGAACUUGAUAUCUUUGUCAAUGAUACUAUCUUGCCGCUUAUACGGUCUCGCCUUAGUGAAGGAUCUGAAUCAUCACCAAGUUCCCAAGACUCUCCUUCUGAAAGCAUAAAUUUGAGAAAUGAUACCCCCGACUUGGACUUGGAGGAGCCAUCUUCCAUUGGUCAUGGAGACGUAGUCGGGUACAACAGUAUAUUGCGAUGGGCUAAGGCCAAAAAGUAUGGAUCUCUACAAGUUGUCUGUCAGUACUACCAGUUGCAGUGUCCUGUCAGGGGUUCAUCACUUAAUUUUCAUCCAUUGGAGCACCUGCACUCAUUGAAGUUUCAUCGGCCAGGUGAAACUGCUCUUCAUCUUGCCGGGUCGACUAUUGAUCUUCGGUCACGUGAUACAAGCUUAGAGGUGGCUGAGAUGCGUAAUGCACUCUUCGCUGAAGAGGAAUCGACUGCUUUAUCCACAUGGGCUGUUGCAACAAUAUGUGGAUGCCUCAGGUUGGAACAUGUAAUUACGCUGUUUGCCGCCGCGCUCCUGGAGAAACAGAUUGUUAUUGUCUGUUCUAAUUUGGGAAUGCUUUCAGCUUCAGUUUUAUCCAUAAUACCUCUAAUACGGCCAUAUCAGUGGCAGAGUCUACUCAUACCGGUUUUGCCAAAUGACAUGCUGGAUUUUCUGGACGCGCCUGUUCCAUACAUUGUUGGUGUGCAGAACAAAACACCUGAUCUGCAAUCCAGGCUAGCAAAUGCUGUGAUAAUUGAUGCCAACAAGAAUCAGAUUAAGUCUGCUUCAGUACCGCAACUUCCACAACAGAAAGAAUUGCUUUCUGCGUUGCGGCCGUAUCAUUCAAGACUUGUGGGUGAAAGUUAUCUCGCUAGGAAGCGCCCUGUCUAUGAAUGCACAGAUGCCCAGGUGGAAGCAGCCAAAGGUUUCUUGGCAGUUCUUAGAUCCCACCUUGAUUCUCUGUGCUCCAACUUAAGAUCUCACACUAUUACCAAUGUGCAAUCCAACAAUGACAAGGUUUCCUUAAUUUUAAGAGAGAGCUUCAUUGGUUCUUUUCCAGCCCGUGAUAGGCCUUUUAUGAAGCUGUUUCUGGACACACAAUUGUUCUCGGUACAUACAGACCUAGUUCUCUCCUUUUAUCAGAAGGACUGA
RNAcentral lists this ribosomal RNA (2511 nucleotides) under Triticum aestivum (bread wheat). RNAcentral's name for it is "partial small subunit ribosomal RNA". Lineage: Eukaryota; Viridiplantae; Streptophyta; Magnoliopsida; Poales; Poaceae. The record is from RNAcentral.